UGGAAUUGCUCCAAUAACAAUAAUGCUUUCUCCAUUUUAUAGCUUGUGAGUUUUUAUUUUCUUAAACUAUGUAACGUUAAUGUUAAAUUUAUUUUUAUAAAGUAUAGUAGUAGUAUAGUAGCGUUAUGUGUGAAUGAAUUGUAGCUAAUUUUUUUUACAUGGUUUUCCCAUUUGGGUUUGGUUGGAAUCUAGGAAGUGGGGGAAGCUAAUUUACGAAUAUUUGGGUGAUUAUGCUUUGUAAUCUUACUAUUCUCAGCUUAGUUGUUAAUGGAAAACUUCACCAUCAGAUGAGUUUCAUCAUUCUUCAACCACUUUUUAAUCCUUAUUAAUACUAAGAUCUUUAGCAUAAGAUAACAGAUAUUAUGUAUGAAGGGGAUAGAAACUAAAAACCUAUGAAACACAUACUACUCUAGUAUUAGCAUGUGCUACCAAAUGACACUUAUACGACACACAUAUUAAAAAUAUUAAAUAUAUGUCUGAAAAAUCAGACAAGUACUUUUAUUAUUUGCUUCGACAUUUUAAAUCAGACAUUCAUAUUAUAUUGAUAAUAAGCAAGUGUUUAAAAAAAAUAUUUUUUUCUUUGUAUUACCACACUUUUAUGAUUUUUGUAAACAAAUGUCACACAUCUAAAAGAAAAAGUUAAAGUAUAAUAAAAUAAUCUUAUUAACUACAUUGAUUUUGAUUAAAAUAUUUAUAAUAUUUUUAAAUAUUAGAAUUAAUGAAAUUCAAAUACUAUCUUAGAUUUUGUUUGAAUAGUGGAAUAGGAUGAAAUGGAAUGAUAUUACAUUAUUUAAAUCAUUUAAAAUCGGAUGGAGUGAUAUGAAUUCUAUUUCUUUCUCUAUCAUUUGGACAGAAUGAACAACCUUCAUUGUUUGGCUCCAUUCUACUCAGUUUGCCUUGUUCCAUCCUAUGGAUUUCAAAAUGAAAUUUUUAUUCUGCGCUAUUUGUUUUAGGAUAUUCAAACAUAAUCUUUUAGGAUAUCCAAGCUUAAUCUUAUGGGUAUUAAUGGUAUGAGAUGAAAUUGUGUACUCCAAUAAUUUGAAAUUUUAUUAUUUGAAUUUGUAAAUAAUUUGAAUUUACAAAUAAUGAAUGAAAUAAAAUUGAACAUGAUGGAAAUCUUUCUAUUCAAUUUUUUUUUUCUUUCAAUUUGAAAUUUGAAAUUUAUGUGAUGGAAUGAAAUAUUUUUAAUAAAAUAAUUAAAUAAUAGAAUGUGAUCUAUAUUUGAUUUCCCUAUUCCAUUCCAUUGUAUUCUAGUGUCCGUCGUGUUUUAUAAUUAAAAUAUUAUCCGAAAUUGGUUCUAUAUUGGAGUACACUAGUGGUAAGAUAUUUACAGAAUAUUUUACCUAACUAUUUCCUUGUAAUCUGAAUAGCCGCACAGGGGGGAUAGAUGAUAAUCAACUGAUCUGGGUAAAAGAUUAUGUAAUACAGUACUAGUAGUGUGUUGGGAUUCUCUGCUUCUGUUGCAAACUUGUUUUCUAUUCUAAACUAGGGUUAUGCAGUGUUGUUAACUAGCAGUUAUAGCAGGCGUUGCAAUUGACAACAUUGGAGAAAUGCUGAGGAAAAAGUUGUAAAAUGAGAUGAUCCAAUUUUCAGUAGUUGUAGUUCAAGUUUAACAGGUAAAAGACAAUGAAUGCGUGAUCUUGCGCAUGUUUCCAAGAUUUCUAGUUAAUGUGGGAUGAGGAUUGGGAAAAGUGAUAGAAUCGUGAUAGUAUGAGGAUUGGGAAAAGUGAUAGAAUCGUGAUAGUUACUCCUAACCCUUUUCACUAAGAAUCGUGAUAGUAUGAGGAUUGGGAAAAGUGAUAGAAUCGUGAUAGUAUGAGGAUUGGGAAAAGUGAUUCUGACAACCUUAUCUAUAUGGGAAGACCACCACCACAUUGGAAAACGUUAUUACUAUUGCCUAUUGCUAUUGGUAGUCAUUGUUGUGCCAACUUCUAAAAGACAAGAAAAACUAUGAGACUUACUAUUUACUACUCGCUCUGUCCUUUUUAAUGCUUUCUUUUCCUAUUUUUGUUUUUUAUCUAACAUUCUCAAUUACUUUUUCCCUUUACUUCCUCCGUUUCUUUUUAAAUAUUUAUUUUUUAAAAAAACAUUUUUUUAAUUAUUACUUGCAAAGUUUAAG
This 2119-nucleotide long non-coding RNA is filed under the name Lathyrus oleraceus (garden pea). RNAcentral describes it as "Pisum sativum (pea) long non-coding RNA (PSAT_LNC032989)". The record is from RNAcentral. Lineage: Eukaryota; Viridiplantae; Streptophyta; Magnoliopsida; Fabales; Fabaceae.